RNAcentral lists this ribosomal RNA (253 nucleotides) under uncultured bacterium. Its description in RNAcentral is "partial 16S ribosomal RNA". It matches the Rfam family "Bacterial small subunit ribosomal RNA", at positions 524 to 776 of the family's 1533-position model. The record is from RNAcentral.
UACAGAGGUCUCAAGCGUUGUUCGGAUUCAUUGGGCGUAAAGGGUGCGUAGGCGGCGCGGUAAGUCGGGUGUGAUAUCUCGGAGCUUAACUCCGAAACUGCAUUCGAUACUGCCGUGCUUGAGGACUGGAGAGGAGACUGGAAUUUACGGUGUAGCGGUGAAAUGCGUAGAUAUCGUAAGGAAGACCAGUGGCGAAGGCGGGUCUCUGGACAGUUCCUGACGCUGAGGCGCGAAAGCCAGGGGAGCAAACGGG